AGGACGGUUCGAGUAAGUGAUAUUUCGGAACAGUAUCUAGUUCCUACAUUGAUAUUGAAGGAACUAGAUACUGUUCCGAAAUAUCACUUAUUCGAAC
This 97-nucleotide microRNA precursor is filed under the name Paramuricea clavata. The record is from RNAcentral. Lineage: Eukaryota; Metazoa; Cnidaria; Anthozoa; Malacalcyonacea; Plexauridae.